CCUACGGGGGGCUGCAGUUUCGAAUCAUUCACAAUGGGCGAAAGCCUGAUGGUGCGACGCCGCGUGAGGGAUGAAGGUCUUCGGAUUGUAAACCUCUGUCACUGGGGAGAAAACGCUUUGAGUUAAUAGUUCAAAGCCUGAUUUAACCCGGAGAGGAAGCAGUGGCUAACUCUGUGCCAGCAGCCGCGGUAAUACAGAGACUGCAUGCGUUAUUCGGAUUCACUGGGCGGCGGGUGUGCGCGUCAGAUGUGAAAGCCAGAGGCUUAACCUCGGAACUGCGUCUGAAACUACUCGACUAGAGUACUGGAGAGGGAAACGGAAGUCACGGUGUAGCAGUGAAAUGCGUAGAUAUAGUGAGGAACACCAGAGGCGAAGGCGGUUUCCUGGACAGUUACUGACGCUCAGGCACGAAAGCAUGGGGAGCAAAAGGGAUUAGAUACCCCAGUAGUC
Molecule: ribosomal RNA, 450 nt
Filed under: uncultured bacterium
Lineage: Bacteria
Description: partial 16S ribosomal RNA
Rfam family: Bacterial small subunit ribosomal RNA
Source: RNAcentral